GAUGAACGCUGGCGGCGUGCUUAACACAUGCAAGUCGAACGGGAAACCUUUUAUUGAUGCUUCGUCAGAUUUGGCUGGUUUCUAGUGGCGGACGGGUGAGUAACGCGUGGGUAACCUGCCCUAUACAGGGGGAUAACAACCAGAAAUGGUUGCUAAUACCGCAUAAGCGCACCGGGCCGCAUGGUCCGGUGUGAAAAACUCCGGUGGUAUAGGAUGGACCCGCGUUGGAUGAGCCAGUUGGCAGGGUAACGGCCUACCAAAGCGACGAUCCAUAGCCGGCCUGAGAGAGUGGACGCCGACACUUGGAGUGAGACACAGUGCGGACUCCUGCGGGAGGCGGGCGUGCGGGAUAUAGCAAAGUGGCGUAAACCCUGAUGCAGCGACGCCGCGUGAAGGAAGAAGUCUCGCGGGAAGUAAACUUCGAUAAGCAGGGAAGAUAGUGACGGUACCUGACUAAGAAGCCCCGGCUAACUCCGUG
Molecule: ribosomal RNA, 478 nt
Filed under: uncultured bacterium
Lineage: Bacteria
Description: partial 16S ribosomal RNA
Rfam family: Bacterial small subunit ribosomal RNA
Source: RNAcentral